Molecule: ribosomal RNA, 552 nt
Filed under: uncultured bacterium
Lineage: Bacteria
Description: partial 16S ribosomal RNA
Rfam family: Bacterial small subunit ribosomal RNA
Source: RNAcentral
UGGGGAAUAUUGCACAAUGGGCGAAAGCCUGAUGCAGCGACGCCGCGUGCGGGAUGAAGGCCUUCGGGUUGUAAACCGCUUUUAAUUGGGAGCAAGCGAGAGUGAGUGUACCUUUUGAAUAAGCACCGGCUAACUACGUGCCAGCAGCCGCGGUAAUACGUAGGGUGCAAGCGUUAUCCGGAAUUAUUGGGCGUAAAGAGCUCGUAGGCGGUUUGUCACGCCUGGUGUGAAAGUCCAUCGCUUAACGGUGGAUCUGCGCCGGGUACGGGCAGGCUAGAGUGCAGUAGGGGAGAUUGGAAUUCCCGGUGUAACGGUGGAAUGUGUAGAUAUCGGGAAGAACACCAAUGGCGAAGGCAGAUCUCUGGGCUGUUACUGACGCUGAGGAGCGAAAGCAUGGGGAGCGAACAGGAUUAGAUACCCUGGUAGUCCAUGCCGUAAAACGGUGGAUGCUGGAUGUGGGACCCUUCCACGGGUUCCGUGUCGGAGCUAACGCGUUAAGCAUCCCGCCUGGGGAGUACGGCCGCAAGGCUAAAAACUCUAAAGUGAAUUGAC